Molecule: ribosomal RNA, 1528 nt
Filed under: Klebsiella pneumoniae
Lineage: Bacteria; Pseudomonadati; Pseudomonadota; Gammaproteobacteria; Enterobacterales; Enterobacteriaceae
Description: bacterial SSU rRNA
Rfam family: Bacterial small subunit ribosomal RNA
Source: RNAcentral
AGAGUUUGAUCAUGGCUCAGAUUGAACGCUGGCGGCAGGCCUAACACAUGCAAGUCGAGCGGUAGCACAGAGAGCUUGCUCUCGGGUGACGAGCGGCGGACGGGUGAGUAAUGUCUGGGAAACUGCCUGAUGGAGGGGGAUAACUACUGGAAACGGUAGCUAAUACCGCAUAACGUCGCAAGACCAAAGUGGGGGACCUUCGGGCCUCAUGCCAUCAGAUGUGCCCAGAUGGGAUUAGCUAGUAGGUGGGGUAACGGCUCACCUAGGCGACGAUCCCUAGCUGGUCUGAGAGGAUGACCAGCCACACUGGAACUGAGACACGGUCCAGACUCCUACGGGAGGCAGCAGUGGGGAAUAUUGCACAAUGGGCGCAAGCCUGAUGCAGCCAUGCCGCGUGUGUGAAGAAGGCCUUCGGGUUGUAAAGCACUUUCAGCGGGGAGGAAGGCGUUAAGGUUAAUAACCUUGUCGAUUGACGUUACCCGCAGAAGAAGCACCGGCUAACUCCGUGCCAGCAGCCGCGGUAAUACGGAGGGUGCAAGCGUUAAUCGGAAUUACUGGGCGUAAAGCGCACGCAGGCGGUCUGUCAAGUCGGAUGUGAAAUCCCCGGGCUCAACCUGGGAACUGCAUUCGAAACUGGCAGGCUAGAGUCUUGUAGAGGGGGGUAGAAUUCCAGGUGUAGCGGUGAAAUGCGUAGAGAUCUGGAGGAAUACCGGUGGCGAAGGCGGCCCCCUGGACAAAGACUGACGCUCAGGUGCGAAAGCGUGGGGAGCAAACAGGAUUAGAUACCCUGGUAGUCCACGCCGUAAACGAUGUCGAUUUGGAGGUUGUGCCCUUGAGGCGUGGCUUCCGGAGCUAACGCGUUAAAUCGACCGCCUGGGGAGUACGGCCGCAAGGUUAAAACUCAAAUGAAUUGACGGGGGCCCGCACAAGCGGUGGAGCAUGUGGUUUAAUUCGAUGCAACGCGAAGAACCUUACCUGGUCUUGACAUCCACAGAACUUACCAGAGAUGCAUUGGUGCCUUCGGGAACUGUGAGACAGGUGCUGCAUGGCUGUCGUCAGCUCGUGUUGUGAAAUGUUGGGUUAAGUCCCGCAACGAGCGCAACCCUUAUCCUUUGUUGCCAGCGGUCCGGCCGGGAACUCAAAGGAGACUGCCAGUGAUAAACUGGAGGAAGGUGGGGAUGACGUCAAGUCAUCAUGGCCCUUACGACCAGGGCUACACACGUGCUACAAUGGCAUAUACAAAGAGAAGCGACCUCGCGAGAGCAAGCGGACCUCAUAAAGUAUGUCGUAGUCCGGAUUGGAGUCUGCAACUCGACUCCAUGAAGUCGGAAUCGCUAGUAAUCGUAGAUCAGAAUGCUACGGUGAAUACGUUCCCGGGCCUUGUACACACCGCCCGUCACACCAUGGGAGUGGGUUGCAAAAGAAGUAGGUAGCUUAACCUUCGGGAGGGCGCUUACCACUUUGUGAUUCAUGACUGGGGUGAAGUCGUAACAAGGUAACCGUAGGGGAACCUGCGGUUGGAUCACCU